RNAcentral lists this ribosomal RNA (119 nucleotides) under Pteropus alecto (black flying fox). The record is from RNAcentral. Lineage: Eukaryota; Metazoa; Chordata; Mammalia; Chiroptera; Pteropodidae.
GUCUACGACCAUGCUACCCUGAACAAGCCCGAGCCCGUCUGAUCUCGGAAGCUAAGCAGGGUCAGACCUGGUUAGUAUUUGGAUGGGAGACCAUCUGGGAAGACCACGUGCUGUAGGUG